UACGAAGGGGGGCUAGCGUUGCUCGGAAUUACUGGGCGUAAAGCGCACGUAGGCGGCUCGUUAAGUCGGAGGUGAAAUCCUGGAGCUCAACUCCAGAACUGCCUUCGAUACUGAUGAGCUCGAGUUCGGGAGAGGUGAGUGGAACUGCGAGUGUAGAGGUGAAAUUCGUAGAUAUUCGCAAGAACACCAGUGGCGAAGGCGGCUCACUGGCCCGAUACUGACGCUGAGGUGCGAAAGCGUGGGGAGCAAACAGG
Molecule: ribosomal RNA, 254 nt
Filed under: uncultured bacterium
Lineage: Bacteria
Description: partial 16S ribosomal RNA
Rfam family: Bacterial small subunit ribosomal RNA
Source: RNAcentral